UGGGGAAUAUUGGACAAUGGGCGCAAGCCUGAUCCAGCCAUGCCGCGUGAGUGAUGAAGGCCCUAGGGUUGUAAAGCUCUUUCACCGGUGAAGAUAAUGACGGUAACCGGAGAAGAAGCCCCGGCUAACUUCGUGCCAGCAGCCGCGGUAAUACGAAGGGGGCUAGCGUUGUUCGGAUUUACUGGGCGUAAAGCGCACGUAGGCGGACUAUUAAGUCAGGGGUGAAAUCCCGGGGCUCAACCCCGGAACUGCCUUUGAUACUGGUAGUCUUGAGUUCGAGAGAGGUGAGUGGAAUUCCGAGUGUAGAGGUGAAAUGCGUAGAUAUUCGGAGGAACACCAGUGGCGAAGGCGGCUCACUGGCUCGAUACUGACGCUGAGGUGCGAAAGCGUGGGGAGCAAACAGG
RNAcentral lists this ribosomal RNA (404 nucleotides) under Actinomycetes bacterium. Its description in RNAcentral is "Actinobacteria bacterium partial 16S ribosomal RNA". It matches the Rfam family "Bacterial small subunit ribosomal RNA", at positions 355 to 776 of the family's 1533-position model. The record is from RNAcentral. Lineage: Bacteria; Bacillati; Actinomycetota; Actinomycetes.